AGACAGAUGGCCUUCAUAAAGAGGUGGCCACUAAGACAGGUUGACGAUACAUGUACUGUCAAUAAUGAUACUUUUCAAUCACACAUGACCAAUGCGCCGGUCCGAAAACUAGAUGGGCACUGGUUUUCAGAAAAUGAGACGCAUGAAAUUGUAAUA
This is a long non-coding RNA of Strongylocentrotus purpuratus (purple sea urchin), 156 nucleotides long. RefSeq lists it as uncharacterized. The transcript has 2 exons. The record is from RefSeq and is a predicted model, not a curated record. NCBI's taxonomy places the organism in Eukaryota, Metazoa, Echinodermata, Echinoidea, Camarodonta, Strongylocentrotidae.